Molecule: long non-coding RNA, 283 nt
Filed under: Homo sapiens (human)
Lineage: Eukaryota; Metazoa; Chordata; Mammalia; Primates; Hominidae
Description: HSALNT0088563
Source: RNAcentral
GGGUGCACUGCCACUUGGUAACAGAGGAGCUAUGGAAACUUGAGACCUAAGCAGAAAUGAGUUCAAUAAUAUUGCUACACUCUAGGACUUUCUCCAAAAUUAACAACAGAACAAAAGUGCAAGGCAGUGAUAACCCAUCUGACAGCAUUUGGGGAGUGUUUGUGAAAGCAAUGGUGAUGGAGGUUUUAAAAGAAUGUCAGAUCAUAUAAGCAAGAAUGUUGAUGAACAUAGCUUGGGACCAAGACGGCUUCAUUUUGAUCCCAAGGCCUGCUGACAAUGUGCU